GCUGGGCAUGGUGGCGCGGGCCUGUAAUCCCAGUUACUCAGGAGGCUGAGGCAGGAGAAUCACUUGAACCCAGGAGGCAGAGGUUGCAGUGAGCCAAGACUGUGACACUGCACUCCAGCCUGGGUGACAGAGUGAGACUCCGUCUCAA
Non-coding RNA from Pan troglodytes (chimpanzee), 148 nucleotides. It matches the Rfam family "Metazoan signal recognition particle RNA". From Rfam's summary of the family: The signal recognition particle (SRP) is a universally conserved ribonucleoprotein. It is involved in the co-translational targeting of proteins to membranes. The record is from Rfam. NCBI's taxonomy places the organism in Eukaryota, Metazoa, Chordata, Mammalia, Primates, Hominidae.